Molecule: ribosomal RNA, 390 nt
Filed under: uncultured Nitrospina sp.
Lineage: Bacteria; Pseudomonadati; Nitrospinota; Nitrospinia; Nitrospinales; Nitrospinaceae
Description: bacterial SSU rRNA
Rfam family: Bacterial small subunit ribosomal RNA
Source: RNAcentral
AACGAACGCUGGUGGCGUGCUUAACACAUGCAAGUCGAACGAGAAAGUUUCCUUCGGGAAACUAGUAAAGUGGCGCAAGGGUGAGUAACACGUGAAUAAUCUGCCCCCGAGAUCGGGAUAACUUGGCGAAAGCUAAGCUAAUACCGGAUAAGACCACAUUUCAUAAGAAAUGCGGAAAAAGGAGCCUCAACCUCCACUCGAGGAUGAGUUCGCGGACCAUUAGCUUGUUGGUGAGAUAAAAGCUCACCAAGGCUACGAUGGAUAGCCGACCUGAGAGGGUGACCGGCCACACUGGAACUGAGACACGGUCCAGACUCCUACGGGAGGCAGCAGUGGGGGAAUAUUGCGCAAUGGGCGAAAGCCUGACGCAGCAACACCGUGUGAGCGAUG